AGGUGUCAUUAGUUCAUCAAACAAAGAAACAGGUGUCAAGUUCUAGGGCUAGACCUCAGCUUGAAGGGUUACAACUUGCAAAAGCUCAAUUUUUGCUGUCUCCACUGAAUGGAUCUUCCAAUAAGAGUUUGAUUCACCUGAUGUUCAAUGGUUUAUUGGUUAAUUUUAAAUUGUUUUAUUCUUUAGGAAAGCAACGUAUAAGGCAGGCUCAAGCUUGUAAAUGAAUGGACUUGAAGCAUUAAAAAAAGCCUACUUUAAAUUUGAUUAAUAGUAACAGGUUGCAAAGAUCUGCACUUGGAGAGUCUUUAGUAUCAAUGUAUCAUAUUAGAAAACUAUUUAACUCGAGAUUUUGAGUUUAUAAGGGUCCAAGCGUGUGCUUAAUAUCUCCAAUAAUGAAUCUGUUUUGUGUAUUGCUAAAAUGGUUGUGGCAUUCACAGAAAAAUUCCAUUGAAAUGUCCAGAGUAUUCAGCCUAAACUUCCUUACUAUCAUGAUUUACAGAGUCAAAUUAGUUUUCUUGAUUUGGUUUCUUUCCCAUAUAAAAAACAACUCGGUUCAAUUUCUUUAUUUUUGGAGAGCCAGAUUUUAAGGCCUCUCCUACUAUUUUGUUAACUUCAGCUAAAAUGAUGCUUCUAUGAAUAUUCUUUUAACCUUAUUCAAUGAAAUCUGCUGCAGGAUAUUUGCAGGAUCUAGUUU
RNAcentral lists this unclassified non-coding RNA (694 nucleotides) under Hevea brasiliensis (rubber tree). The record is from RNAcentral. Lineage: Eukaryota; Viridiplantae; Streptophyta; Magnoliopsida; Malpighiales; Euphorbiaceae.